RNAcentral lists this ribosomal RNA (247 nucleotides) under uncultured crenarchaeote. RNAcentral's name for it is "partial 16S ribosomal RNA". It matches the Rfam family "Archaeal small subunit ribosomal RNA", at positions 478 to 725 of the family's 1478-position model. The record is from RNAcentral. Lineage: Archaea; Thermoproteati; Thermoproteota.
AGCACCUCAAGUGGUCAGGAUGAUUAUUGGGCCUAAAGCAUCCGUAGCUCGUUUUGUAAGUUUUCGGUUAAAUCCAUGCGCUUAACGUAUGGGCUGCCGGGAAUACUACAUAACUAGGAAGUGGGAGAGGUAGACGGUACUCGGUAGGAAGGGGUAAAAUCCUUUGAUCUAUUGAUGACCACCUGUGGCGAAGGCGGUCUACCAGAACACGUUCGACGGUGAGGGAUGAAAGCUGGGGGAGCAAACC